CAAUGAAGCUCACCGACUUCCAGCACGACAGCAGCGCCGCCCGCCAGGCCACUGGCAUGACGUCGCGUGCCCGUCGACCGGAACCCCACAUUCUCGCUGGGUAAUCCGGAGCUUUCUGCUGUUCG
This 125-nucleotide small RNA is filed under the name Knufia peltigerae. RNAcentral describes it as "Capronia peltigerae Xanthomonadaceae sRNA Xoo5". It matches the Rfam family "Xanthomonadaceae sRNA Xoo5". The record is from Rfam by way of RNAcentral. Lineage: Eukaryota; Fungi; Ascomycota; Eurotiomycetes; Chaetothyriales; Trichomeriaceae. RNAcentral also lists the same sequence under 2 other names.